This 466-nucleotide ribosomal RNA is filed under the name uncultured bacterium. RNAcentral's name for it is "partial 16S ribosomal RNA". It matches the Rfam family "Bacterial small subunit ribosomal RNA", at positions 28 to 507 of the family's 1533-position model. The record is from RNAcentral.
GAUGAACGCUGGCGGCGUGCUUAACACAUGCAAGUCGAACGGAAAGGCUCCUGCUUGCAGGGGUACUCGAGUGGCGAACGGGUGAGUAACACGUGGGUGAUCUGCCCUGCACUUCGGGAUAAGCCUGGGAAACUGGGUCUAACACCGGAUAGGACGAUGGUUUGGAUGCCAUUGUGGAAAGUUUUUUCGGUGUGGGCUGAGCUCGCGGCCUAUCAGCUUGUUGGUGGGGUAUUGGCAUACCAAGGCGUCGACGGGUAGCCGGCCUGGGAGGGUGUACGGCCACAUUGGGACUGCGGUACGGCCCAGACUCCUACGGGAGGCAGCAGUGGGGAAUAUUGCACAAUGGGCGCAAGCCUGAUGCGGCGACGCCGCGUGGGGGAUGACGGCCUUCGGGUUGUAAACACCUUUCGCUAGGGACGAAGCGCAAGUGACGGUACCUGGAGAAGAAGCACCGGCUAACUACGUG